UAUCAGUCAGAAACCUGAUGGGAAAUGUUUUGCCUCUAUUGAACAUGUGGAUAAUUCCCCCCCCCCCCCCCCCCCCCCAGCUGUUGAACUUGGUGCCUCCUUAUCAAACAUUUGCACAUCACCAGCCAGUGGUUUUCCCCAGUCCUUUUCCCCAGGGAGUUUUGCAGUGACACUUCCUGGCUGGGGCCAUCUCGGUGCUGAGGGGAAGAGCCCCUCUUGGGUGGCAGAUUGUCCUGAGCACCCCAGUGAUAUCACAGCUGCCCCCUUGUAUUCUACAGCCUGCAGGAUGCUGGUGUUUGGCAUUUGGCUCCAGCAGCCCUGAUGCUCAGUGUGAGGGAAUGGCCAGAAUGAGCAUUUCUACCAUGAAACAUUGCCAAAAGGCUUGUAGUGGAGGAAUUAUUCUGGUCAAUCCCCCUUAGAAAAUAGCUCCUGAGCUUGUAACAGCAGCUUCUCUAAGGGGCUGCUGGUACCGACGGUUUGCCAUCACACCCUCAGUGUUUGCAGGGCUGCAAAGCUCAAUGAUUGUAAAAUCUCAGGGCAAGAGCUGGGGGUGCUUCUAUCCAGCAUCUCAAACACACCCAUUAAAUUAUUAAUAGUAAUAAUUUGUGCAGAUCCCUGUGGAAUCUGCAGUGAACCAAGUGCAGCUCUCCUGAGGAGCAGAACCCAUUACACAAAAUGUAUUCACGCUUGCCAAGGGGAUGCUUAAAAAUAAAUCUGGCUGGAGAUGAAUAGAUGUUUUGUUGUAAAUCCACAGCUACGUUGGAGAGGUCAGGGCUCAGAUCAAGGACUGGAUCCAGCAAGCUCCUCAGGAGCCCUGUGGAUCUCUGCUCACUCGGCAGAGAAAGGUAUCACGUACUUACUCCUGAUACUACAGUGCUAUUGCCUGUACUAACUCUCAGUCUUCCUUGCCCUGAUGGAACUUGUGUAGAAGUCAGCAGGACAGCACAGAAAUACCUUAGUCCACCUUGAUUGCUUCUUAGACUAUCAUUUCAAGACAGGCUGUAAUAACUGAGCCACCAGAAAUAGUUUGGUUUUCAUUUGAAAGUACCUGGCUUUCAGUUUCUGCAGCCUCUUCCUCUCCCUGCAGUGAGCUGUAUCGGUGCUAUUUAGGACUGAAGAGGAAGAAUCAUCUCAAGCAAAGACGGGGGUACGUUUAUUGCAGCCCCCGGCACCGCAGCGAGGUGCUCCUGUGGGGAUGCCGAUGCACAGAUCGAGGCGCAGCGUUCCUCCCUUCCAUCCGCAGCGUGCCAGACCUCUUCAAUACCGCCAGCCCAGGACCAGCCGGGUUUAACCUCCCGAAGAUCCCUUCUCCCACCGCCAGCUCUGCCUCCCAGGUAAACCCAGCGCCGGGGCGGGGAGCGCUGCUCUCAACCCCACAGCCGCGGGGAGACCCGAGUCCCCUCCACCCCCUGGCUACCGGAGAACCGGGGCCGCUCCUACGCGUGCUCCCCCCGCCGUGGGCAGCGGCUCCUGCGCGUCCCGCGCAGCGCGGAGCCUUCUCCCUUAAAAACAGCCCCGCGCAGGGGAGGGGCUCCGCGCUCCCCCCGCCGCCGUUUCCGGUUCGCUGCCAUAUUCCUCUUUAUUUUCUCCCCUCCCCUGC
Molecule: long non-coding RNA, 1600 nt
Organism: Melopsittacus undulatus (budgerigar)
Lineage: Eukaryota; Metazoa; Chordata; Aves; Psittaciformes; Psittaculidae
Source: Ensembl